RNAcentral lists this ribosomal RNA (1294 nucleotides) under metagenome. Its description in RNAcentral is "bacterial SSU rRNA". It matches the Rfam family "Bacterial small subunit ribosomal RNA", at positions 189 to 1498 of the family's 1533-position model. The record is from RNAcentral.
AUGUUCACAUGAUUAAAGGUAUUCCGGUAGACGAUGGGGAUGCGUUCCAUUAGAUAGUAGGCGGGGUAACGGCCCACCUAGUCUUCGAUGGAUAGGGGUUCUGAGAGGAAGGUCCCCCACAUUGGAACUGAGACACGGUCCAAACUCCUACGGGAGGCAGCAGUGAGGAAUAUUGGUCAAUGGGCGAGAGCCUGAACCAGCCAAGUAGCGUGAAGGAUGACUGCCCUAUGGGUUGUAAACUUCUUUUAUAAAGGAAUAAAGUCGGGUAUGCAUACCCGUUUGCAUGUACUUUAUGAAUAAGGAUCGGCUAACUCCGUGCCAGCAGCCGCGGUAAUACGGAGGAUCCGAGCGUUAUCCGGAUUUAUUGGGUUUAAAGGGAGCGUAGAUGGAUGUUUAAGUCAGUUGUGAAAGUUUGCGGCUCAACCGUAAAAUUGCAGUUGAUACUGGAUAUCUUGAGUGCAGUUGAGGCAGGCGGAAUUCGUGGUGUAGCUGUGAAAUGCUUAGAUAUCACGAAGAACUCCGAUUGCGAAGGCAGCCUGCUAAGCUGCAACUGACAUUGAGGCUCGAAAGUGUGGGUAUCAAACAGGAUUAGAUACCCUGGUAGUCCACACGGUAAACGAUGAAUACUCGCUGUUUGCGAUAUACAGCAAGCGGCCAAGCGAAAGCGUUAAGUAUUCCACCUGGGGAGUACGCCGGCAACGGUGAAACUCAAAGGAAUUGACGGGGGCCCGCACAAGCGGAGGAACAUGUGGUUUAAUUCGAUGAUACGCGAGGAACCUUACCCGGGCUUAAAUUGCAGAUGAAUUACGGUGAAAGCCGUAAGCCGCAAGGCAUCUGUGAAGGUGCUGCAUGGUUGUCGUCAGCUCGUGCCGUGAGGUGUCGGCUUAAGUGCCAUAACGAGCGCAACCCUUGUUGUCAGUUACUAACAGGUCAUGCUGAGGACUCUGACAAGACUGCCAUCGUAAGAUGUGAGGAAGGUGGGGAUGACGUCAAAUCAGCACGGCCCUUACGUCCGGGGCUACACACGUGUUACAAUGGGGGGUACAGAGGGCCGCUACCACGCGAGUGGAUGCCAAUCCCAAAAACCUCUCUCAGUUCGGACUGGAGUCUGCAACCCGACUCCACGAAGCUGGAUUCGCUAGUAAUCGCGCAUCAGCCACGGCGCGGUGAAUACGUUCCCGGGCCUUGUACACACCGCCCGUCAAGCCAUGGGAGCCGGGGGUACCUGAAGUGCGUAACCGCGAGGAGCGCCCUAGGGUAAAACUGGUGACUGGGGCUAAGUCGUAACAAGGUA